Long non-coding RNA from Myotis brandtii (Brandt's bat), 2620 nucleotides. RefSeq lists it as uncharacterized. The transcript has 2 exons. The record is from RefSeq and is a predicted model, not a curated record. NCBI's taxonomy places the organism in Eukaryota, Metazoa, Chordata, Mammalia, Chiroptera, Vespertilionidae.
GGGCCCGACUGUAGCCCUGGCGUUUGCCCUCAGCCCCGCCGGGCCCCUCCAGCUCCAGGCCAGACCCUAGUAACACCUCGGGCUGCCCGGCACCACAGGCAAUUUCCUGGAGCCCCCGCCCAGGAGCCGGGGCCACCGCACCUUGAAAGGGACGGCCAGGGCUUCCUCCUGGGGCUUGAAAGCCCGAGCUAAUCAGUAACCCGAGAGACAGGGGCCAAUAUUCAAACGAGGCGGCCGCGGCGCGGACCCCCGCCCUCGCCACCCCUUCUGGGAAGGCGGGUGUGAGGGGUCCGGCAGGAACGAAAAUCUUCAUGGUUUGGUUCCUCGGUGAUUGAUCUGUACCCCCAAUUUCCCCCCCAAAGCAUCUUUGUCGAUUAUUUCGCUUGAAACGAUUGAGAAUAAGGGAGGGGGCCCCCACUCACUUGCAGACACCGACCGUUUCCAGAAAAUUUGGCUCAAUUCCUUCAUCACCGAUUCGCCAGCCAAGGAGCUGGCAAGACCCACCCGCCAACCGGGAGAACACAGACCCGGUUGUCUUUUGACAACCGAGUGGAACUGCCGGGCCGGCGCCACCUCUUCGGCCCCUCCCUUGGCCAAAAAGAAAACCAAAUAAACCUGGAACAGCCUUGGCCUCGGAUCUCCCGAGAGGCCCGGAGGAUCCCCGCUAGCGCCCGCGGUGGGUGGGUGGGGGGCUCCCCGGUUCAGGGCCCCCCGCCCGCGGAAGGCGGCAUCAGUCCCUUUAAAUAUGCCCUAGAAAACGCCGCUUCUCCCGCCAGCCGCAAGGUUCGGAGCCAGGAUGGGGCGGGCGAGGGGGAGGGGACACUAGUUCUCUAGUCCACACUCGGGCGGGGGGAACCUGGACCCGACGGGAAGCGACAAUCUGGGCCCGAAGUCCCCGAAUCCCGCCAAACCUCAGCGCCCGGGCUCCAGGCGUCGGGCACGAUACAGGCAGCAUCGCGGGGCUCGCGGCGCCGAAGCCGCAUGUCUCCGAACGGACGGUAGAUGGCAGCAAACCGCAUAAUUUGGAUCACAGCAAACUAAGGGAUGAUUUAUACCCCGCCGAGACUACAGGAGAAAAAGACCUUCGGUCCGGGUGGGUUUGGGGGGUUUUCCCUUUGAGAAUAGGCUCCAAGUGCCGUGGGUGGUAGCCGAGACCUUCUCUGGCUAUGCGCAGCGCGGGGUCCCCCCAGACCCCCAAUCCCGGCCUGCUGGGAGGGCAUCCACCUGGGCCUCCAGGGACCCCUCCCGCGCCACAAGUGGCUGAGUCCCUCUCUGCCAGCUCGGGACCCAGAGGGCCAGUAUCCCCGGACACAACCUCCUUAGGCAACCAGGGUCCUGAGGCUCCGCGCUCGGCCUCUGGUCUUUAAGAAGAGAGAAGCAACCACCUAAUCGUGCAAACCAAACCGAACCAAUCUCUCCAGAGUCGCUGAUCUCCUGGCUUGCAGCUUCCUCAAAAGCCCUCUCGCUCUAUUUUAAGUCCACACCCAGAGACUUGCACCGUCUUCCACCCCCACCAGCUACUUUAGGAAUUUCCGUCUCCAGCCCAAAGCUUCCCCCCAGAAGGCCUGGCUGGGGAAUAAAAUCUGGCGCCUGAGGGACAGGACUAGCUGUCUGAGCUCAGCGCCAGGCAGCUCUCUAGUCCGGACACCAUUAGGCCCCCUAAUUGGGUUUUCUUUUUAUUUUCUUCUCCUUUUUUUUUUUUUUUAAUUUACAAGCCUUAAACAACAACACACCGUCUUCACACUCACCAGGUUUAGAUCCAGGAAAGUUUGAAAUGUUUCAACAUCAGUUAUGCAAAUGGCAAUUUUCUCCUCCACCGAAACCCACACCCCCCAAACCAACAAAACACAAGUAAUAGCAUCAGCGUCGCACAGAAACCAGCACAUUGUAACCUACCGCGUUCAACACCACAACAUGGUCUCCCUGCAGAGCCAGGCUCCCUCCUUCGGGAGUGGCCAGAGACCUGGGCAUUCUCAGGCAGGCUGGGGGGAGGGGAGUACCUCCAUUUAGGUGCCUCCACUUACAGCCCUUUAAUUUCAGAAAUGUUUCCAAAGCGAGAGAAUGAGCGUGUUUCUCCAUAAAUUGUUCUUUCUGUCUCUCUCUAGCCGCCUCCUUGCCCGCCACGGCCUCUGCGGAGAUUCCAGGCCCUCCAGAGACCAGGACAUCCCUCCGAGCCACCGCCCCUCAUGCCAAUGCUGCCGGGAAACUGCCGACACCCGAACCGGACAAGAGAACAGCGAAGCAGCCACCCCUCUCUCUACCGCCGAAUUUCCUGGGAAGCCUCUCCCUGCAGCACCCAGAGGUGGGGUUCAGCCCCAUCUUGGACAGGGGAGGGGGGAGACAAACCCAAGCCCCACCUACAAAAUCGAGGCAAAAGAAUAAGAAGAAAAUUGUAGAAUCUCCCUUACCUUUGCAGACCUUGAGGUUUCUGUCCUCCGAUUGAAAGGGGUGGGGAGGAAGGAGGGGGAAAAAAAGAGCGUUCGGUUUCCUCUUCAUCUUCCAGAUAAUAUUGUCCCAACCUGAGAGCCGUCGCUUCCCCUUCUCUGACUUGGGAGAGAGGGUGUUUCGUUUUUUCUGAUAUUUGCAUAGAAAAUGGAGUAAGUUCUGGCUUUGAAAAAUG